This is a long non-coding RNA of Lolium rigidum, 639 nucleotides long. RefSeq lists it as uncharacterized. The record is from RefSeq and is a predicted model, not a curated record. The transcript is spliced from 4 exons. Lineage: Eukaryota; Viridiplantae; Streptophyta; Magnoliopsida; Poales; Poaceae.
AAUAUGCUACACGCAAUGCUCUCUUCAAAGGACUGUGUGACAGAGCAGGGCAUCCUGAGGUUCCAAUAGCAGAGGGCAUCCCUGAGCCUCUUAAGCACCGCUGCAAGGCCAAGGUCGCCGGGAUCUUUCUCACCAACUCUGGCUGGUGGCCUCCUCCACGCGAUAUUAGCAGCCCCUGAAGCCAGCGCCGAGGACGCUGGAUGCCUUGAGAUGUUCUCAUGUAACUGUCUCAUCUCUUUGCUCCCUGGGUGUUGAUUAUUAUGUAGCGACAUGGAAACAAUUGUGACCUGAUAUUGUCACGUUGGUCUGAAGAUCGGCAACCACACUCAUAGUUUGACUAUGGAGCUGCCGCCAGAUGCAGAGACUUGCUGCCCAUGACCGGGUUCUUGUGGAUUUCCAGGUGCACAUGCGGCUCUUCCUGAAUUUUUGAUUGCACAUGAUUCUGAACAAGACAAAAACAAGUCAGGGCCAUCAGACGCAUAGGACCUGGAGAAAUUAGCUUCACAUGGAGGCAUCAACAAAUCACUGGAGAGCGGCAGCGGCUGCAGUCGGUGCUCCCGGAUGGAUACCUCGGCAACACCAUCUUCAUGGCCACGCAGCUCGCCGAGGCGGGGAAGGUGAAUGGCUCGCUGGCGGACG